Molecule: ribosomal RNA, 254 nt
Filed under: uncultured bacterium
Lineage: Bacteria
Description: partial 16S ribosomal RNA
Rfam family: Bacterial small subunit ribosomal RNA
Source: RNAcentral
UACGUAGGGUGCGAGCGUUAAUCGGAAUUACUGGGCGUAAAGCGUGCGCAGGCGGUUUUGUAAGCCAGGUGUGAAAUCCCCGGGCUCAACCUGGGAAUGGCAUUUGGGGACUACAAGGCUGGAGUGCGGCAGAGGAGACUGGAAUUCCUGGUGUAGCAGUGAAAUGCGUAGAUAUCAGGAGGAACACCGAUGGCGAAGGCAGGUCUCUGGGCUGACACUGACGCUCAUGCACGAAAGCGUGGGGAGCAAACAGG